RNAcentral lists this ribosomal RNA (1158 nucleotides) under Triticum aestivum (bread wheat). RNAcentral's name for it is "partial small subunit ribosomal RNA". Lineage: Eukaryota; Viridiplantae; Streptophyta; Magnoliopsida; Poales; Poaceae. The record is from RNAcentral.
AUGAACAAAAAAAGACAGAUAUUCUUUGUUGAUGGUCCAGGAGGCACUGGGAAGAUGUACUUGUACAAGGCAUUGCUUGCAAAGGUGCGUUCCAUGGGCCGAAUAGCAAUCGCAACUGCUACAUCUGGUAUUGCAGCAUCGAUAAUGCCUGGAGGACGGACAACACACUCCCGGUUCAAAAUUCCAAUCAAGCUCACUAACAACAGUAUGUGUAGUUUUACAAAACAGAGUGGUAUAGCGGAGUUUCUUAGACAGGCAUCCUUGAUAAUUUGGGACGAAUUCGCUAUGACAAAACGACAAGCAGUUGAGACGCUUGAUAGAUCACUACAGGAUAUAAUGGAAUGUUCUUUGCUGUUUGGAGGAAAGGUUGUUGUCUUUGGUGGCGAUUUCAGGAAGGUCCUACCCGUUGUGACACGUGGGACAAGAGCACAGAUCACGGAUGCUACGCUUCUGAGAUCCUAUCUCUGGGAGAAGACCCGCAAGGUACGUCUCACGCGCAAUAUGCGGGCACAGGAUGAUCCUUGGUUCUCAGAAUACCUACUAAGGAUAGGCAAUGGAACUGAAGAGACAAUUGGCGACGAUUAUGUCCGUCUCCCUGACGACAUUGUCAUUGGCUAUACCGAGGAUGAAAAAGCUAUUAACAUGCUCAUAGAAGAUGUCUUACCAUCUUUGCAGGCCAAUGCAAGAUCGAGAGAGUACAUGAGUGCACGUGCUAUUCUUUCGACGAAGAACGAUCAUGUCGAUGACCUGAAUGACAAGAUGAUCUCCAGGUUUCCAGGCGAAGAAAAGUUAUACCAUAGUUUUGACUCAAUCGAGGAUGACUUGCAGAAUAAUUACACAAUUGAUUUUUUGAAUUCGAUCACACCAAAUGGCUUGCCCCCGCAUGUUUUGAAACUAAAGGUCAACUGCCCGGUCAUUCUGCUCCGGAACCUCGACCCUCAUAAUGGCCUAUGCAAUGGAACACGGCUUAUGAUCAGAGCCUUUCAGGAUAAUGCAAUUGAUGCGGAGAUUGUUGGUGGUCAGCAUGCUGGAAAGAGGGUGUUUAUACCUAGGAUCCCUAUGUCGUCCUCAGAGGACAUCUCACUUCCUUUCAAACUUAAGAGAAAACAGUUCCCCAUCCGCCUGAGUUUUGCGAUGACAAUUAACAAGAUGAGGUAG